RNAcentral lists this ribosomal RNA (305 nucleotides) under uncultured bacterium. Its description in RNAcentral is "bacterial SSU rRNA". It matches the Rfam family "Bacterial small subunit ribosomal RNA", at positions 335 to 657 of the family's 1533-position model. The record is from RNAcentral.
UGCCCUACGGGAGGCAGCAGUGGGGGAUAUUGCACAAUGGGGGGAACCCUGAUGCAGCGACGCCGCGUGGGUGAAGAAGCGCCUCGGCGCGUAAAGCCCUGUCAGCAGGGAAGAAAAUGACGGUACCUGAAGAAGAAGCCCCGGCUAACUACGUGCCAGCAGCCGCGGUAAUACGUAGGUGGCAAGCGUUAUCCGGAUUUACUGGGUGUAAAGGGCGUGUAGGCGGGGACGCAAGUCAGAUGUGAAAACCCUGGGCUCAACCUGUGGCCUGCAUUUGAAACUGUUAUUCUAGAGUAUGGGAGAGG